CCCUUAGAUGUCCUGGGCCGCACGCGCGCUACACUGAUGCGUUCAACGAGUUCUUCCUUGGCCGAGAGGCCUGGGCAAUCUUUUGAACGCGCAUCGUGAUAGGGAUUGACACUUGCAAUUAUUUGUCAUGAACGAGGAAUUCCUAGUAAACGCAGAUCAUCAAUCUGCAUUGAUUACGUCCCUGCCCUUUGUACACACCGCCCGUCGCACCUACCGAUUGAAUGGUCCGGUGAAGCCUCGGGAUUGUGGUUCUUGCCGCUUUAUUGUGGCGUGACCGCGAGAACUUGUCUAAACCUUAUCAUCUAGAGGAAGGUGAAGUCGUAACA
RNAcentral lists this ribosomal RNA (326 nucleotides) under uncultured eukaryote. Its description in RNAcentral is "partial 18S ribosomal RNA". It matches the Rfam family "Eukaryotic small subunit ribosomal RNA", at positions 1470 to 1796 of the family's 1831-position model. The record is from RNAcentral.